This 686-nucleotide ribosomal RNA is filed under the name alpha proteobacterium SCGC AAA163-I08. Its description in RNAcentral is "bacterial SSU rRNA". It matches the Rfam family "Bacterial small subunit ribosomal RNA", at positions 89 to 809 of the family's 1533-position model. Lineage: Bacteria; Pseudomonadati; Pseudomonadota; Alphaproteobacteria. The record is from RNAcentral.
UACUUAGUGGCAGACGGGUGAGUAACAUGUGGGUAUCUACCCUUUGGCCUGGAAUAACACGAGGAAACUUGUGCUAAUACCGGAUAAGUCUUUACGGAGAAAGCUUUAUGCACCAUUGGAUGAGCCCGCACUUGAUUAGUUUGUUGGUAGGGUAAUGGCCUACCAAGACUAUGAUCAAUAGCUGAUUUGAGAGGAUGAUCAGCCACAUUGGGACUGAGACACGGCCCAAACUCCUACGGGAGGCAGCAGUGGGGAAUCUUGCACAAUGGAGGAAACUCUGAUGCAGCGAUGCCGCGUGAGUGAAGAAGGCCUUUGGGUUGUAAAGCUCUUUCGUCGGGGAAGAAAAUGACUGUACCCGAAUAAGAAGGUCCGGCUAACUUCGUGCCAGCAGCCGCGGUAAUACGAAGGGACCUAGCGUAGUUCGGAAUUACUGGGCUUAAAGAGUUCGUAGGUGGUUGAAAAAGUUGGUGGUGAAAUCCCAGAGCUUAACUCUGGAACUGCCAUCAAAACUUUUUAGCUAGAGUAUGAUAGAGGAAAGCAGAAUUUCUAGUGUAGAGGUGAAAUUCGUAGAUAUUAGAAAGAAUACCAACUGCGAAGGCAGCUUUCUGGAUCAUUACUGACACUGAGGAACGAAAGCAUGGGUAGCGAAGAGGAUUAGAUACCCUCGUAGUCCAUGCCGUAAACGA